This is a long non-coding RNA of Mauremys mutica (yellowpond turtle), 1643 nucleotides long. RefSeq lists it as uncharacterized. Lineage: Eukaryota; Metazoa; Chordata; Testudines; Geoemydidae. The record is from RefSeq and is a predicted model, not a curated record. The transcript is spliced from 4 exons.
GGGUUCAGAUGCCCUUUGUGGAACUAUUAACUUGAAAUCACUAGGAAGUCUGGCAAAUUCAUUUAUGAAGAAGCUCAAUUUUCUACUUGGAGGAGAAAUCCUUGGCAGGAUGCCUUCCAAUUUCAGUUCAGUCACAGUGAAUUUUCAGGCUGACUGGCGACAUUGCUGUAUUGUACUAUACCAGUCGGCUUCCGGGGAAGUCUGAGAAUCUUUAACAUAUGUGAAAGGGAACCAGCCGUGAAUAUGAGAAAGAAGGCUGCUCAACCCUGAAGCAACAUUCUACCACUUUCAUGAAGCAGCAGUGGAGAAAAUGAGCACAAUUGUGGCAGCAAUGAAAAGAAAAGCAGGACUGGAAGUAACAAUAAGCAGAUCCUUUCCCUUACCUUACCAACCACAGGAGCUUUAGUCCUGGUGGCUACAUCCUGCAACAGAGCACAGUACCAAGUGCUGUGAGGAACUAUCAGAAUACUUCACUGAAAAAAUUACACAUAUUCAGGAAGGCUUCUUUAACAGCAUGGAUCUGUUCCCCAUAUCCAGUCAACAAGCAGCCAACCUGCAUGCCCAGAAUUCAGUACAUUCAUUCCUCUAGAAGUACUGAACACCCUAAAGAAGUCUCACUUAUGUCUUUUCUGGCUGGUGAAGGAGAGUCACGGGCAGCUAGUGCCACUCAAGAUUGAAAUAGCCAGUGCCUCAUUCAGGAAAAGAAUCUUCCCUUCCUUCUUCAAAUACAAGAUAGUGCAACCAGCACUGAAGAAAUGCUCCCUAGAUACACUGGUUCUAGCUACUCCCUACCACCCAGUAUCAAACCUUCCACUCCUGAGCAAACUCAUACAGAAGCUAGCCAAAGGCCAACUACAAGAUCAUCUAACUGAAGGUACAAUCUGGAUUUGGGCCAGGACAUGAAAUAGAAACAGCUUUAAUGGCACUGAUGGAUGAUCUCCAGCUGUCAAUGGAUGGUCACACUUCCAUUCUUAGCUGCCUAGACCUCUCUGCAACAUUCAACACAGUUGAUCAUGCUGUCCCAAAUGAGGUGGAAGAAUGCACUAAAAAGCUAAAGUGUUUCCUGGAGAGAGACCCAAACUGUAGCGAAGGGGAAACUGCUCCUCUGCCACUAAAACCCUCACUUAUGGAGUCCUAUAAGAUAAUAGACUUUCCAGUUAUGUGAUUUUUAUUUAUAGAAAAUCUAUCAUUGAUGCAAGGCUGAAUCUAAUCUGCCCUGGUCUUGGACAGCUUUAAAUUUGGGAGUGGGGAGGAAAAAUAUUUGUCUGUUUUGUUUUGUUUUUUAAAGGGGAGAGUGGAAGGAUCUGUUUGAAUUUGCUUAGAGGUUUGGAAUGUAGGAGUAAGUUCUGGGUUGAGGGAGGAAGAGGUGAGAUUUGUUUGUUACAUUAUUGUGCAAUUUAUCACUUGUAUAUCAUGGUCAAAUGUAAGGUGUAUAUAUGAAUGGGACAAAUCACAUGAGCUGGGGGCAAGUAAGAUGCUGUGUUUGUAAUCAUAAUUUUAAAAUAUAUUUGCCUGGUAGGUAAGCUCAUUUGUAAUUUAUGAAUUGAUGUUUGUCCUCCCCGCCCUCAUUAGAAUAAUUAAUUAUUGAAUAUAUGUGUUUUGCAUAUGUAAUCAGAAGAGUACACAAGAGGCACUUAACAAGA